GGGUGAGUAACACGUAUGCAACCUGGCCGUCACAGGUGGAUAACCGGAAGAAAUUCCGACUAAUACAGCAUAACACUCCUGAGGGACAUCCUUCGGGAGUCAAAGGAGGCGACUCCGGUGACGGAUGGGCAUGCGGCGCAUUAGGUAGUUGGUAGGGUAACGGCCUACCAAGCCGACGAUGCGUAGGGGUUCUGAGAGGAAGGCCCCCACAUUGGAACUGAGACACGGUCCAAACUCCUACGGGAGGCAGCAGUGAGGAAUAUUGGUCAAUGGCCGGAAGGCUGAACCAGCCAAGUCGCGUGAGGGAAUAAGGCCCUAUGGGUCGUAAACCUCUUUUGUCAGGGAGCAAAGGCGUCCACGUGUGGACGAGAGGAGAGUACCUGAAGAAAAAGCAUCGGCUAACUCCGUGCCAGCAGCCGCGGUAAUACGGAGGAUGCGAGCGUUAUCCGGACUUAUUGGGUUUAAAGGGUGCGUAGGCGGAGUGUCAAGUCAGCGGUAAAAUUUCGGGGCUCAACCCCGUCGUGCCGUUGAAACUGACGCCCUUGAGUGAGUGAGAAGUAAGCGGAAUGCGUGGUGUAGCGGUGAAAUGCAUAGAUAUCACGCAGAACGCCGAUUGCGAAGGCAGCUUACCGGCGCUCAACUGACGCUGAGGCACGAAAGUGCGGGUAUCGAACAGGAUUAGAUACCCUGGUAGUCCGCACAGUAAACGAU
RNAcentral lists this ribosomal RNA (711 nucleotides) under uncultured bacterium. RNAcentral describes it as "bacterial SSU rRNA". It matches the Rfam family "Bacterial small subunit ribosomal RNA", at positions 104 to 810 of the family's 1533-position model. The record is from RNAcentral.